This 254-nucleotide ribosomal RNA is filed under the name uncultured bacterium. RNAcentral describes it as "partial 16S ribosomal RNA". It matches the Rfam family "Bacterial small subunit ribosomal RNA", at positions 524 to 776 of the family's 1533-position model. The record is from RNAcentral.
UACGUAGGGGGCAAGCGUUGUCCGGAUUUAUUGGGCGUAAAGAGCGUGUAGGCGGCCAGGUAGGUCCGUUGGUGAAAACUCGAGGCUCAACCUCGAGACGCCGAUGGAAACCAUCUGGCUAGAGUCCGGAAGAGGAGAGGUGGAAUUCCCGGUGUAGCGGUGAAAUGCGCAGAUAUCGGGAAGAACACCCGUGGCUAAGGCGGCUCUCUAGUACGGUAUGACGCUGAGACGCGAAAGCGUGGGGAGCGAACAGG